GUCGAACGAGGUAGCAAUACCUAGUGGCGCACGGGUGAGUAACGCGUGGAUAAUCUGCCCUUCACUGGGGAAUAACUAAUCGAAAGGUUAGCUAAUACCGCAUGAGGCCACAGACUCUGAGGAGACAGUGGUUAAAGAUUUAUUGGUGAAGGAUGAGUCUGCGUGGGAUUAGCUAGUUGGUGAGGUAAUGGCUCACCAAGGCUACGAUCUCUAACAGGUCUGAGAGGAUGACCUGUCACACUGGAACUGAGACACGGUCCAGACUCCUACGGGAGGCAGCAGUAGGGAAUAUUGCGCAAUGGACGAAAGUCUGACGCAGCGACGCCGCGUGAGUGAUGAAGGCCUUAGGGUCGUAAAGCUCUGUUGCAGGGGAAGAAAAAAAUGACGGUACCCUGCGAGAAAGGAUCGGCUAACUUCGUGCCAGCAGCCGCGGUAAGACGAGGGAUCCUAGCGUUGUUCGGAAUCAUUGGGCGUAAAGCGCAUGUAGGCUGCCAUUCAAGUCAGUUGUGAAAGCCCCGGGCUCAACCCGGGAAGUGCUUCUGAUACUGUUUGGCUUGAGUACUAGAGAGGAUAGUAGAAUUCCAGGUGUAGUGGUGAAAUACGUAGAUAUCUGGAGGAAUACCGG
RNAcentral lists this ribosomal RNA (625 nucleotides) under uncultured bacterium. Its description in RNAcentral is "bacterial SSU rRNA". It matches the Rfam family "Bacterial small subunit ribosomal RNA", at positions 61 to 712 of the family's 1533-position model. The record is from RNAcentral.